Molecule: ribosomal RNA, 496 nt
Filed under: uncultured bacterium
Lineage: Bacteria
Description: partial 16S ribosomal RNA
Rfam family: Bacterial small subunit ribosomal RNA
Source: RNAcentral
GAUGAACGCUGGCGGCGUGCCUAAUACAUGCAAGUCGAGCGAACAGAUGAGGAGCUUGCUCCUCUGACGUAGCGGCGGACGGGUGAGUAGCACGUGGAUAACCUACCUAUAAGACUGGGAUAACUUCGGGAAACCGGAGCUAAUACCGGAUAAUAUAUUGAACCGCCUGGUUCAAUAGUGAAAGACGGUUUUGCUGUCACUUAUAGAUGGAUCCGCGCCGCAUUAGCUAGUUGGUAAGGUAACGGCUUACCAAGGCAACGAUGCGUAGCCGACCUGAGAGGGUGAUCGGCCACACUGGAACUGAGACACGGUCCAGACUCCUACGGGAGGCAGCAGUAGGGAAUCUUCCGCAAUGGGCGAAAGCCUGACGGAGCAACGCCGCGUGAGUGAUGAAGGUCUUCGGAUCGUAAAACUCUGUUAUUAGGGAAGAACAAAUGUGUAAGUAACUAUGCACGUCUUGACGGUACCUAAUCAGAAAGCCACGGCUAACUACGUG